This 496-nucleotide ribosomal RNA is filed under the name uncultured bacterium. RNAcentral describes it as "partial 16S ribosomal RNA". It matches the Rfam family "Bacterial small subunit ribosomal RNA", at positions 30 to 523 of the family's 1533-position model. The record is from RNAcentral.
AUUGAACGCUGGCGGAAUGCUUUACACAUGCAAGUCGAACGGCAGAGGGGGCAACCCCUCGAGAGUGGCGAACGGGUGAGUAAUAUAUCGGAACGUGCCCAGUCGUGGGGGAUAACGUAGCGAAAGUUACGCUUAUACCGCAUACGAUCUAAGGAUGCAAGCGGGGGAUCGCAAGACCUCGCGCGAUUGGAGCGGCCGAUAUCAGAUUAGGUAGUUGGUGGGGUAAAGGCACACCAAGCCAACGAUCUGUAGCUGGUCUGAGAGGACGACCAGCCACACUGGAACGGAGACACGGUCCAGACUCCGACGGGAGGCAGCAGUGGGGAAUUUUGGACAAUGGACGCAAGUCUGAUCCGGCCUUUCCGCGUGCAGGAUGAAGGCCCUCGGGUUGUAAACUGCUUUUGUACGGAACGAAAAGGUCUCUCUUAAUACGGGGGACUCAUGACGGUACCGUAAGAAUAAGCACCGGCUAACUACGUGCCAGCCGCCGCCGUAA